GGUUAAGCGACCAAGCGUACACGGUGGAUGCCCUGGCAGUCAGAGGCGAUGAAGGACGUGCUAAUCUGCGAAAAGCGCCGGUAAGGUGAUAUGAACCGUUAUAACCGGCGAUGUCCGAAUGGGGAAACCCAGUGUGACUCGUCACACUAUCAUUAACUGAAUCCAUAGGUUAAUGAGGCGAACCGGGGGAACUGAAACAUCUAAGUACCCCGAGGAAAAGAAAUCAACCGAGAUUCCCCCAGUAGCGGCGAGCGAACGGGGAGGAGCCCAGAGCCUGAAUCAGCAUGUGUGUUAGUGGAAGCGUCUGGAAAGGCGCGCGAUACAGGGUGACAGCCCCGUACACAAAAGCGCAUGUGCUGUGAGCUCGAUGAGUAGGGCGGGACACGUGGUAUCCUGUCUGAAUAUGGGGGGACCAUCCUCCAAGGCUAAAUACUCCUGACUGACCGAUAGUGAACCAGUACCGUGAGGGAAAGGCGAAAAGAACCCCGGCGAGGGGAGUGAAACAGAACCUGAAACCGUGUACGUACAAGCAGUGGGAGCAUGAGUUUACUCAUGUGACUGCGUACCUUUUGUAUAAUGGGUCAGCGACUUAUAUUCUGUAGCAAGGUUAACCGUAUAGGGGAGCCGGAGGGAAACCGAGUCUUAACCGGGCGUUAAGUUGCAGGGUAUAGACCCGAAACCCGGUGAUCUAGCCAUGGGCAGGUUGAAGGUUGGGUAACACUAACUGGAGGACCGAACCGACUAAUGUUGAAAAAUUAGCGGAUGACCUGUGGCUGGGGGUGAAAGGCCAAUCAAACCGGGAGAUAGCUGGUUCUCCCCGAAAGCUAUUUAGGUAGCGCCUCGUGAAUUCAUCUCCGGGGGUAGAGCACUGUUUCGGCCAGGGGGCCAUCCCGGCUUACCAACCCGAUGCAAACUGCGAAUACCGGAGAAUGUUAUCACGGGAGACACACGGCGGGUGCUAACGUCCGUCGUGAAGAGGGAAACAACCCAGACCGCCAGCUAAGGUCCCAAAGUCAUGGUUAAGUGGGAAACGAUGUGGGAAGGCCCAGACAGCCAGGAUGUUGGCUUAGAAGCAGCCAUCAUUUAAAGAAAGCGUAAUAGCUCACUGGUCGAGUCGGCCUGCGCGGAAGAUGUAACGGGGCUAAACCAUGCACCGAAGCUGCGGCAGCGACACUGUGUGUUGUUGGGUAGGGGAGCGUUCUGUAAGCCUGCGAAGGUGGCCUGUGAGGGUUGCUGGAGGUAUCAGAAGUGCGAAUGCUGACAUAAGUAACGAUAAUGCGGGUGAAAAACCCGCACGCCGGAAGACCAAGGGUUCCUGUCCAACGUUAAUCGGGGCAGGGUGAGUCGACUCCUAAGGCGAGGCCGAAAGGCGUAGUCGAUGGGAAACGGGUUAAUAUUCCCGUACCUGGUGUUACUGCGAAGGGGGGACGGAGAAGGCUAUGUUGGCCGGGCGACGGUUGUCCCGGUUUAAGCGUGUAGGCUGGUUUUCCAGGCAAAUCCGGAAAAUCAAGGCUGAGGCGUGACGACGAGGCACUACGGUGCUGAAGCAACAAAUGCCCUGCUUCCAGGAAAAGCCUCUAAGCCUCAGGUAACAUCAGAUCGUACCCGAAACCGACACAGGUGGUCAGGUAGAGAAUACCAAGGCGCUUGAGAGAACCCGGGUGAAGGAACUAGGCAAAAUGGUGCCGUAACUUCGGGAGAAGGCACGCUGACACGUAGGUGAAGCGGUUUACCCGUGGAGCUGAAGUCAGUCGAAGAUACCAGCUGGCUGCAACUGUUUAUUAAAAACACAGCACUGUGCAAACACGAAAGUGGACGUAUACGGUGUGACGCCUGCCCGGUGCCGGAAGGUUAAUUGAUGGGGUCAGCGCAAGCGAAGCUCCUGAUCGAAGCCCCGGUAAACGGCGGCCGUAACUAUAACGGUCCUAAGGUAGCGAAAUUCCUUGUCGGGUAAGUUCCGACCUGCACGAAUGGCGUAAUGAUGGCCAGGCUGUCUCCACCCGGGACUCAGUGAAAUUGAACUCGCUGUGAAGAUGCAGUGUACCCGCGGCAAGACGGAAAGACCCCGUGAACCUUUACUAUAGCUUGACACUGAACACUGGUCCUUGAUGUGCAGGAUAGGUGGGAGGCUUUGAAGUGUGGACGCCAGUCUGCAUGGAGCCGUCCUUGAAAUACCACCCUUUAAUGGCUGGUGUUCUAACGUAGACCCGUGAACCGGGUUGCGGACAGUGUCUGGUGGGUAGUUUGACUGGGGCGGUCUCCUCCUAAAGCGUAACGGAGGAGCACGAAGGUUGGCUAAUCCUGGUCGGACAUCAGGAGGUUAGUGCAAUGGCAUAAGCCAGCUUGACUGCGAGCGUGACGGCGCGAGCAGGUGCGAAAGCAGGUCAUAGUGAUCCGGUGGUUCUGAAUGGAAGGGCCAUCGCUCAACGGAUAAAAGGUACUCCGGGGAUAACAGGCUGAUACCGCCCAAGAGUUCAUAUCGACGGCGGUGUUUGGCACCUCGAUGUCGGCUCAUCACAUCCUGGGGCUGAAGUAGGUCCCAAGGGUAUGGCUGUUCGCCAUUUAAAGUGGUACGCGAGCUGGGUUUAGAACGUCGUGAGACAGUUCGGUCCCUAUCUGCCGUGGGCGCUGGAGAACUGAGGGGGGCUGCUCCUAGUACGAGAGGACCGGAGUGGACGCAUCACUGGUGUUCGGGUUGUCAUGCCAAUGGCACUGCCCGGUAGCUAAAUGCGGAAGAGAUAAGUGCUGAAAGCAUCUAAGCACGAAACUUGCCCCGAGAUGAGUUCUCCCUGAGACUACAAGUCUCCUGAAGGAACGUUGAAGACGACGACGUUGAUAGGCCGGGUGUGUAAGCGCAGCGAUGCGUUGAGCUAACCGGUACUAAUGAACCGUGAGGCUUAACCUU
RNAcentral lists this ribosomal RNA (2905 nucleotides) under Salmonella enterica subsp. enterica. RNAcentral's name for it is "23S ribosomal RNA". It matches the Rfam family "Bacterial large subunit ribosomal RNA". Lineage: Bacteria; Pseudomonadati; Pseudomonadota; Gammaproteobacteria; Enterobacterales; Enterobacteriaceae. The record is from RNAcentral.